GACGAACGCUGGCGGCGUGCUUAACACAUGCAAGUCGAGCGGUAAGGCCCUUUCGGGGGUACGACGAGCGGCGAACGGGUGAGUAACACGUGGGUGACCUCGCCCUCAGCUCUGGGAUAAGCCCGGGAAACUGGGUCUAAUACUGGAUAUUACUCUGCGGUGCAUGCCGUGGGGUGGAAAGCCUUGUGCGGCUGGGGAUGGGCCCGCGGCCUAUCAGCUUGUUGGUGGGGUGAUGGCCACCAAGGCGACGACGGGUAGCCGGCCUGAGAGGGCG
RNAcentral lists this ribosomal RNA (274 nucleotides) under uncultured bacterium. RNAcentral's name for it is "partial 16S ribosomal RNA". It matches the Rfam family "Bacterial small subunit ribosomal RNA", at positions 28 to 302 of the family's 1533-position model. The record is from RNAcentral.